RNAcentral lists this ribosomal RNA (2807 nucleotides) under Klebsiella pneumoniae. RNAcentral's name for it is "23S ribosomal RNA". Lineage: Bacteria; Pseudomonadati; Pseudomonadota; Gammaproteobacteria; Enterobacterales; Enterobacteriaceae. The record is from RNAcentral.
UUAAGCGACUAAGCGUACACGGUGGAUGCCCUGGCAGUCAGAGGCGAUGAAGGACGUGCUAAUCUGCGAAAAGCGUCGGUAAGGUGAUAUGAACCGUUACAGCCGGCGAUGUCCGAAUGGGGAAACCCAGUGCAAUUCGUUGCACUAUCGUUAACUGAAUACAUAGGUUAACGAGGCGAACCGGGGGAACUGAAACAUCUAAGUACCCCGAGGAAAAGAAAUCAACCGAGAUUCCCCCAGUAGCGGCGAGCGAACGGGGAGCAGCCCAGAGUCUGAAUCAGCUUGUGUGUUAGUGGAACGGUCUGGAAAGUCCGACGGUACAGGGUGAUAGUCCCGUACACCAAAAUGCACAGGCUGUGAACUCGAAGAGUAGGGCGGGACACGUGGUAUCCUGUCUGAAUAUGGGGGGACCAUCCUCCAAGGCUAAAUACUCCUGACUGACCGAUAGUGAACCAGUACCGUGAGGGAAAGGCGAAAAGAACCCCGGCGAGGGGAGUGAAAAAGAACCUGAAACCGUGUACGUACAAGCAGUGGGAGCACCUUCGGGUGUGACUGCGUACCUUUUGUAUAAUGGGUCAGCGACUUAUAUUCUGUAGCAAGGUUAACCGUAUAGGGGAGCCGCAGGGAAACCGAGUCUUAACUGGGCGUUAAGUUGCAGGGUAUAGACCCGAAACCCGGUGAUCUAGCCAUGGGCAGGUUGAAGGUUGGGUAACACUAACUGGAGGACCGAACCGACUAAUGUUGAAAAAUUAGCGGAUGACUUGUGGCUGGGGGUGAAAGGCCAAUCAAACCGGGAGAUAGCUGGUUCUCCCCGAAAGCUAUUUAGGUAGCGCCUCGUGAAYUCAUCUUCGGGGGUAGAGCACUGUUUCGGCUAGGGGGUCAUCCCGACUUACCAACCCGAUGCAAACUACGAAUACCGAAGAAUGUUAUCACGGGAGACACACGGCGGGUGCUAACGUCCGUCGUGAAGAGGGAAACAACCCAGACCGCCAGCUAAGGUCCCAAAGUCAUGGUUAAGUGGGAAACGAUGUGGGAAGGCACAGACAGCCAGGAUGUUGGCUUAGAAGCAGCCAUCAUUUAAAGAAAGCGUAAUAGCUCACUGGUCGAGUCGGCCUGCGCGGAAGAUGUAACGGGGCUAAACCAUGCACCGAAGCUGCGGCAGCGACACUAUGUGUUGUUGGGUAGGGGAGCGUUCUGUAAGCCUGCGAAGGUGACCUGUGAGGGUUGCUGGAGGUAUCAGAAGUGCGAAUGCUGACAUAAGUAACGAUAAAGCGGGUGAAAAGCCCGCUCGCCGGAAGACCAAGGGUUCCUGUCCAACGUUAAUCGGGGCAGGGUGAGUCGACCCCUAAGGCGAGGCCGAAAGGCGUAGUCGAUGGGAAACAGGUUAAUAUUCCUGUACUUGGUGUUACUGCGAAGGGGGGACGGAGAAGGCUAUGUUAGCCGGGCGACGGUUGUCCCGGUUUAAGCAUGUAGGCUGGUURUCCAGGCAAAUCCGGAUAAUCAAGGCUGAGGUGUGAUGACGAGGCACUACGGUGCUGAAGUAACAAAUGCCCUGCUUCCAGGAAAAGCCUCUAAGCAUCAGGUAACAUCAAAUCGUACCCCAAACCGACACAGGUGGUCAGGUAGAGAAUACCAAGGCGCUUGAGAGAACUCGGGUGAAGGAACUAGGCAAAAUGGUGCCGUAACUUCGGGAGAAGGCACGCUGGUGUGUAGGUGAAGUCCCUGCGGAUGGAGCUGAGACCAGUCGAAGAUACCAGCUGGCUGCAACUGUUUAUUAAAAACACAGCACUGUGCAAACACGAAAGUGGACGUAUACGGUGUGACGCCUGCCCGGUGCCGGAAGGUUAAUUGAUGGGGUUAUCCGUAAGGAGAAGCUCUUGAUCGAAGCCCCGGUAAACGGCGGCCGUAACUAUAACGGUCCUAAGGUAGCGAAAUUCCUUGUCGGGUAAGUUCCGACCUGCACGAAUGGCGUAAUGAUGGCCAGGCUGUCUCCACCCGAGACUCAGUGAAAUUGAACUCGCUGUGAAGAUGCAGUGUACCCGCGGCAAGACGGAAAGACCCCGUGAACCUUUACUAUAGCUUGACACUGAACAUUGAGCCUUGAUGUGUAGGAUAGGUGGGAGGCUUUGAAGCGUGGACGCCAGUCUGCGUGGAGCCAACCUUGAAAUACCACCCUUUAAUGUUUGAUGUUCUAACGUUGGCCCCUUAYCGGGGUUGCGGACAGUGUCUGGUGGGUAGUUUGACUGGGGCGGUCUCCUCCCAAAGCGUAACGGAGGAGCACGAAGGUUAGCUAAUCCUGGUCGGACAUCAGGAGGUUAGUGCAAUGGCAUAAGCUAGCUUGACUGCGAGCGUGACGGCGCGAGCAGGUGCGAAAGCAGGUCAUAGUGAUCCGGUGGUUCUGAAUGGAAGGGCCAUCGCUCAACGGAUAAAAGGUACUCCGGGGAUAACAGGCUGAUACCGCCCAAGAGUUCAUAUCGACGGCGGUGUUUGGCACCUCGAUGUCGGCUCAUCACAUCCUGGGGCUGAAGUAGGUCCCAAGGGUAUGGCUGUUCGCCAUUUAAAGUGGUACGCGAGCUGGGUUUAGAACGUCGUGAGACAGUUCGGUCCCUAUCUGCCGUGGGCGCUGGAGAAUUGAGGGGGGCUGCUCCUAGUACGAGAGGACCGGAGUGGACGCAUCACUGGUGUUCGGGUUGUCAUGCCAAUGGCACUGCCCGGUAGCUAAAUGCGGAAGAGAUAAGUGCUGAAAGCAUCUAAGCACGAAACUUGCCCCGAGAUGAGUUCUCCCUGAGACUUUAAGUCUCCUGAAG